GGACCAUUGCACACCACACACACCAACUUGCCAUGCAUUUCAUCCCUAACCUAACCUGAUUUUCUAAGGUUUUUGGGGCCUAUAAAUACAUGUUUACACCCCUUGGCCAAAGAAUAAUCCCCCAUAUUCAUCAUUUUAUCACAGAAAUUCGUCCAUACACACCCUAGGAAGCAAAACACCCAAAAAACACCAUUCUAGUGCCUAGAAAACAUAACAGCCACUCCAC
RNAcentral lists this long non-coding RNA (226 nucleotides) under Malus domestica (apple). RNAcentral describes it as "long non-coding RNA (MDOM_LNC015238)". The record is from RNAcentral. Lineage: Eukaryota; Viridiplantae; Streptophyta; Magnoliopsida; Rosales; Rosaceae.